This 402-nucleotide ribosomal RNA is filed under the name uncultured bacterium. RNAcentral's name for it is "bacterial SSU rRNA". It matches the Rfam family "Bacterial small subunit ribosomal RNA", at positions 355 to 774 of the family's 1533-position model. The record is from RNAcentral.
UGGGGAAUAUUGCACAAUGGGGGAAACCCUGAUGCAGCAACGCCGCGUGAGUGAAGAAGUAUUUCGGUAUGUAAAGCUCUAUCAGCAGGGAAGAUAAUGACGGUACCUGACUAAGAAGCUCCGGCUAAAUACGUGCCAGCAGCCGCGGUAAUACGUAUGGAGCAAGCGUUAUCCGGAUUUACUGGGUGUAAAGGGUGCGUAGGCGGCACAGCAAGUCAGAUGUGAAAGACCGGGGCUCAACCCCGGGGCUGCAUUUGAAACUGCCGAGCUUGAGUCCGGGAGAGGCAGGCGGAAUUCCUAGUGUAGCGGUGAAAUGCGUAGAUAUUAGGAGGAACACCAGUGGCGAAGGCGGCCUGCUGGACCGGAACUGACGCUGAGGCACGAAAGCGUGGGGAGCAAACA